Molecule: ribosomal RNA, 802 nt
Filed under: uncultured Pelagibacteraceae bacterium
Lineage: Bacteria; Pseudomonadati; Pseudomonadota; Alphaproteobacteria; Candidatus Pelagibacterales; Candidatus Pelagibacteraceae
Description: bacterial SSU rRNA
Rfam family: Bacterial small subunit ribosomal RNA
Source: RNAcentral
CGCUGGCGGCACGCCUAACACAUGCAAGUCGAACGAAGUAGCAAUACUUAGUGGCAGACGGGUGAGUAACAUGUAGGUAUCUACCCUUUGGCCUGGAAUAACACGAGGAAACUUGUGCUAAUACCAGAUAAGUCUUUACGGAGAAAGCUUUAUGCACCAUUGGAUGAGCCUGCACUUGAUUAGUUUGUUGGUAGGGUAAUGGCCUACCAAGACUAUGAUCAAUAGCUGAUUUGAGAGGAUGAUCAGCCACAUUGGGACUGAGACACGGCCCAAACUCCUACGGGAGGCAGCAGUGGGGAAUCUUGCACAAUGGAGGAAACUCUGAUGCAGCGAUGCCGCGUGAGUGAAGAAGGCCUUUGGGUUGUAAAGCUCUUUCGUCGGGGAAGAAAAUGACUGUACCCGAAUAAGAAGGUCCGGCUAACUUCGUGCCAGCAGCCGCGGUAAUACGAAGGGACCUAGCGUAGUUCGGAAUUACUGGGCUUAAAGAGUUCGUAGGUGGUUGAAAAAGUUGGUGGUGAAAUCCCAGAGCUUAACUCUGGAACUGCCAUCAAAACUUUUCAGCUAGAGUUUGAUAGAGGAAAGCAGAAUUUCUAGUGUAGAGGUGAAAUUCGUAGAUAUUAGAAAGAAUACCAAUUGCGAAGGCAGCUUUCUGGAUCAAUACUGACACUGAGGAACGAAAGCAUGGGUAGCGAAGAGGAUUAGAUACCCUCGUAGUCCAUGCCGUAAACGAUGUGUGUUAGACGUUGGAAAUUUAUUUUCAGUGUCGCAGUGAAAGCGAUAAACACACCGCCUGGGGAGUACG